Molecule: ribosomal RNA, 254 nt
Filed under: uncultured bacterium
Lineage: Bacteria
Description: partial 16S ribosomal RNA
Rfam family: Bacterial small subunit ribosomal RNA
Source: RNAcentral
GUCCACGCCGUAAACGAUGGAUACUAGCUGUUGGGGUUUACCUCAGUGGCUAAGCGAAAGUGAUAAGUAUCCCACCUGGGGAGUACGUUCGCAAGAAUGAAACUCAAAGGAAUUGACGGGGCCCGCACAAGCGGUGGAGCAUGUGGUUUAAUUCGAUGAUACGCGAGGAACCUUACCAAGGCUUAAAUGUAGAUUGACAGGACUGGAAACAGUUUUUUCUUCGGACAAUUUACAAGGUGCUGCAUGGUUGUCGU